ACUCUGUUGCACCGCCCAGUCGCCCGGCUUUCCACUGAGGGACGCCCCCUGCUCUGGACUGCUUAGCCUACUCCAGCUGGCCCCACCUCACCUCAUCGGCCCCGCCUCCUCCGCUCGCCCACUCCGGGCGCCCACUCCUGAGGAGCUAUCCCAGAGUCCGCGCGGCCUCGCCUUCCCGGCCCGCUCACCACCCCGCCUCGUCCCACCUCGCCUCGCCCUCCCCGGGCUCUAGCCACUUGGUGCGGCAGGUGUCCUGCAGGCCGGCUCGAGAUUCCCGAGCUCGCCCUCGUGGUGUUCCAGGAACACGGUACUUUGCGCUAGCCUGGCCUGUCCUGAGAGACUGCGGGAGGCGAAGAGAACGCGCUGUUGCUGUGGGAAGCGCCGGGGACGGGACAGCUACACCGCCAAACACUUCGCUAGGGAAAGGGCUGGCUGGUUUCGUGCGUAAACAACCGAAAAGGGGAAGUGUCUGGGGGAAAGUGUGUGUGUGUGUGUGUGAAUGCGGGUGAGUGAGGGGGAGAGGGACACGUUACUAAAGUCAGGCAAAUAUUUUGAAAAAAAUAUAUUUUGAAAAAAAUAGUUUGGUCUAACAAAAAUAAAAUGGAAGAGAGAUUUGUUUAAGUAGUUUGAAGCUGAAAGAUUGACGGGAUCUUGCCAUGACCUGAACAGCAUGCACCUGUUUUGUGGCUGGCUGAAGGAUGGUAAAUAGGAUCAAGAUCUCACUUUAAGCGUUGAAAAUGCUGAAAGCCCUUUCUCAAACCUGCCAUAGCGUAGGGGUAGACAGUCUUUCUUAAAGCAACUACUAGGGGUCAAAUGCUGAGUGAAAUUUUUUUCAUCUGUGAACUUUAAAUAAUAGCCACAUACAUUCUGCUAGGCAACUGAGUCUCAAUUUACUAUAGGCCACGUGGCAAAUAAUCAGAUUCAAUUAAAGUCAUCAAACAAUAAUUGUGUGUCGGGCAUCACGUUUAGGUAUUCAAGAUACAAACAUGAAUGAGUUUGGUGAAAAAGUCAUAUCAUCAUGGGCAUGAAUUCUAGUUCCCUCACUUAUUAGCUAUGCUACCUUGGGUCAAUUAACCUCUCUGAGACUCAGCUUUCUCAUCUACAGGAUAAGAAUAAUAAUCCCUUCCUCAUAAGGUUGUUGUGUGAAUUUAAUAAUAUAUUACUUGUAAAACACUUAUUGGGGUGGGAAAUUACCUUGAUGCAAUGGUAGCUUCCACGUACGAGUCAGGCCAUCCCAGAGGGUCAUGGAACUCAGAUGGCUGAGUUCAAAAGGCUCAGAUCAAAUUGAGAUGCCUGAGUCACACAGUUUAUUAAAUCAAUUUAUUUUCAUUUUAAAUAAGUUUAUUCAAACAAGACAUUUGACUUGAAAGGAAAACUAGGAUUUUUUUUUAAGAGUAAUGUGUCAUUACUGAAAGAUUGCCUUACAUGUAAUAGCCACGUACAAAGAGUUAUAAAAUUGUCUUGGCUAGGCCGGCACGGUGGCUCACGCCUGUAAUCCCAGCACUUUGGGAGGCCAAGGCGGGUGGAUCACCUGAGGCCAGGAGUUCGAGACCAGCCUAACCAACAUGGCAAAACCCGUCUCUACUAAAAAUACAAAAAUUAGCCGGGCGUGUUGGCGCAUGCCUAUAAUUCUAGCUACUUGAGAGGCUGAGGCAGGAGAAUAGCUUGAAUCCUGGAGGCAGAGGUUACAGUGAGCUGAGAUUGUGCCAUUGCACUCCUGCCUUGAUGACAAGAGCAAAACUCAGUCUCAAAAAAAAAAAAAGAAUUGUCCUUGGCUUUACAAUCAUAAACAAAAUACAUUACAAUUCUUCAACUGAAGAAGAUAUGCAAAAACUGUUAUGGUGUUUUGUUUUGUGUGUGGGGUUUUUUUGGUUAAAACAGAGCAAAAUAACGAACUGGAAUAUAAAGAUAAGACCUGAAUGAGCAUGGCAUUAAUGGAGAAGGGAGUCUUCACAAAACCAUAUUUCUCCGCCCAUCCUAUCUUCAUUUGAUGCGGAUCAAAAGAUAACAUUGGGGCCAGGCGCAGUGGCUCACGCCUGUAAUCCCAGCACUUUGGGAGGCCAAGGCGGGUGGGUCACCUGAGGUCGGGAGUUCGAGACCAGCCUGACCAACAUGGAGAAACCCCAUCUCUACUAAAAAAAUACAAAAUUAGCCGGGCACGGUGGCGCAUGCCUGUAAUCCCAGCUACUCGGAAGGCUGAGGCAGGAGAAUCACUUGAACCCGGGAGACGGAGGUUGUGGUGAGCCAAGAUCGCGCCACUGCACUCCAGCCUGGGCAACAAGAGCAACACCCCGUCUCAAAAAAAAAAAAAAAAAAUUGACCAUUUGGUUAAAAAAUGCAAUACGCUUUUAUGCAUUAUAACUAUGGCAUAUACAAUAUGCCAUAAAGACUAUAUGAAGAUGUAGAAUUCUGUUACUCCUAGAGAUCUUGCAGUUACACAUUUAAUUGUUUACAUAGUUACAUUGUAACUAAUAUAUACAUAUAAUAAAGUAAUGGGGAAGAGGAAAAUGAUAGAGAAAACUAUACUGUAGUAGUCAGGGUGUGAUGGAACCAAAUCGCAGUUUUCUAAUUGAAAAUGCAUUCUUGGUCCGUAAGAACAGAGUUCUGUAAUAAAGUAGCAGGCUCCAUUUUUAGUCAAAACCUCCUGUCCUUGGAACACAUUAAUUGUAUCUUUAGCCUCCAUCUUCAACUUUACAGGUGUGUCUAUUUCAUUGAUUGGUUGCACAUGAAGUCUAGAAUCUGAUCAACCUCAUUGCCUAACCCUGUUCACAAUAGGCUUUCAUUAAUUUACUAAGUGGUAUACACCUUUUUUUUUUUUUUUUUAAGACGGAGUCUCAUUCUGUCACCCAGGCUGGAGUGCAGUGGCGGGAUCUCGGCUCACUGCAGCCUCUGUCUCCCAGGUUCAAGUGAUUCUCCUGCCUCAGCUUCCCGAGUAACUGGGAUUACAAGCACCUGCCACCACACCUGGCUAAUUCUUGUAUUUUUUUUUAGUGGAGACGGGGUUUCACCAUGUUGGCCAGGCUGGUCUCGAGCUCCUGACCUCAGGUGAUCCGCCCACCUUGGCCUCCUAAAGUGCUGGGAUUACAAGUGUGAGCCACUGCGCCCGGCUGGAAUAUGCCUUUUAAUCUUAAACUGCACCACAGACCCAUUCUGCCCUGCCACCUUCAAAUUAAUAGGAUUGUUGUUCUCAAUCUUGCCUCCUUCUUUGGGCUUUCUGUCAGCCAGAGUCUUCUUAGCUGCCACUUCACAAAACAGGUGCCAGUUCUGUGCCAAACAAGCACACAAGCUGUACCCUAUUAAAUCAUUUUAAAACAUAACAGCAAGGGGAAAGAGAUUGAGUGGACUAACAUAUUUUGGUUAGGAUGUGGGGAGGGGAGAGAGUGGAAGGAUUAUACCAUCUGAAUCUUAAUGUUACUGUUCGUGUACUGUUUGAUGCAUCAGACUUCCUUGCUGGUGGUGUAGUUAUGAGGACCAUAGUGAGGAUGAGCAAGACUGCUCAGCAGGUAGAAGGUGGAGCCAGCACACACUUUUCUUUUGGAGAACUGCUGGAACCUGACUCCAGCUAUAACUGCAUUUAUAACCAGUUAUAAUUAACCUACUGAGCAGCUAUGGAUGGUAUCUGUGUUUCUUGGACAGAGCACGUGUGGGGCCAGAGUGGAUCUCACCAGUGAGUGGCUGGUUUAGGGAUAACAUAGUUGUCAGUCUGGCAGUAACAUGAUCAUUACCUUAUGAAUAUUUAAGAUUUAUUUGGGGCUGGGCACCGUGUCCCACGCCUGUAAUCCCAGCACUUUGGGAGGCCGAGGUGGGCAGAUCACCUGAGGUCGGGAGUGCGAGACCAGCCUGACCAACGUGGAGAAACCCUGUCUCUACUAAAAAUAAAAAAUUAGCCAGGCGUGGUGGUGCAAGCGUGUAAUCCCAGCUACUCGGGAGGCUGAGGCAGAACAAUCGCUUGAACCUGGGAGGCGGAAGUUGUGGUGAGCUGAGAUUGUGCCACUGCCCUCCAGCCUGGGCAACAAGAGCGAAACUCCGUCUCAAAAAAAAAAAUUUACUUGGUCCUUCUAGCCCUUUUAAUCUAAAAGUGGAACUCUCAUGUGUUCCAUUAUUUUUGUGUAUGUUCAAUACAUAUAUGUUCCAUUCAUCCUAUUUUUAACAUGCCUCACAGUGUAAUUAUUUAUUAUUUAUACUUAAUACAUCUUACAAAUUUCAUUAUGUCUAACAAGCCAUUUGCUCCCAUACUUAGUUUCUCUCAAUUUCUGUGGCAGAAUUGAAUAUUCUUAAAUGACACAGCAAAAACAUCACAGUACUCAGAAUAGUGUAGGCAGUGUGAGUUUCCCCCAGGAUGUUCAAAGUUAUUGGAAGAGCAAAUGGAAAAAAAUAACACGCGUAACUGAAAGAUCUCAAGGAGUAAGAGGAUUCUGCAUCUUCAUAUGGACUUUAUGGCAUAUUGUAUUUUCCAAAAAUGGCCACAACAAUAUUUCUGGUACCAUAUGCUGUUCCAGAACUUGGAUACACCUCCCCUUAAAAGGUGGUGUCUAAUGCACUUCCCUUUGCAUAUAGGCCAUCAAUAUUAACUUUUGUUUGUUUGUUUGUUUGUUUGUUUGUUUGAGACAGAGUCUCGCUCGGGCACCAGGCUGGAGUGCAGUGGCACGGUCUCGGCUUACUACAACCUCCGCCUUCCGGAUUCAAGUGAUUCUGCUGCCUCAGCCUCCCGAAUAGCUGGGAUUACAGGCGAGUACCACCACAUCCAGCUAAUUUUUUUAAUUUUUAGUAGAGACGGGGUUUCACCGUGUUAGCAAGGAUCAUCUUGAUCUCUUGACCUCGUGAUUCACCUGCCUCGGCCUCCCAAAGUGCUGACAUUACAGGCGUGAGCCACGGCACCCGGCUAUUAAUACUAACUUCUAACAAAUAGGAUACAGUCAAGUGCCAUGUAACAUUUUGGUCAAUGAUAGACCCCAUAUAUGGUGGUGGUCCUAUAAGAUUAUAAUGGAGCUGAAAAGUUCCUAUCAUAGUGACGUUAUAGUCAUAGCACAACACAUUACUCAUGUGUUUGUGUUGAUGCUACUGUAAACAAAUCUGCCAGUGUGUAAAGUAUAGCUUAUAUAAUUAUGUACACUACAUAAUACUUGAUAGUGAUAAUCUAUAUUACUGAUUUAUGUAUUUACUAUAGUUAUCAUUAUUUUAGUGUAUACUCCUUCUAAUUAUAUAUAUAAAAAAAUCAGUAACUGUAAAAUAGCUUCAGGCAGGUCCUUCAGGAGGUAUUCCAGAAGAAGGUAUGGCUAUCAUAGGAAAUGACAGCUUCAUGUAUUUAUUGCCCCUGGAGACCUUCCAGUGGGACAAGAUGUGGAGGUGGAAAACAGUAAUAUUGAUGAUCCUGACCCUGUGUAGGCACAGACUAAUGCAUGUGUGUGUCUUAGUUUUUAACAAAAAAAGUUCAAAAAGUAAAUUAUUUUAAAAAAUAGGAAAGAGUUUAUAGAAUAAGAAUAUAAAGAAAGAAAAUUUUGUGCAGCUAUGCACUGUUUUAAGCUAAGUGUUAUUACAAAAGAGUCAAAAAGCUUUAAAAAUUUAAAACGUUUUUGAAAUACAGUUACAGUAAGGUAAGGCUAAUUUAUUGAAGAAAGAAAAAUAUUUUUCAUAAGUUUCUUGUAGCCUAAGUAUGCAGUAUUUAUGGCAUCUACAGUAGUGUGUAGUAAUACUCUAAACCUUCACAUUCACUCACUGACUGACUCACUUAAAGCAACUUCCAGUCCUGCAAUCUCCAUUCAUGGUAACUGCCCUAUACAAGUGUGCCUUUUUAAAAAAACCUUUUAUAUCAUAUUUUUACUGUACCUUUUCUAUGUUUAGAUACACAAAUACAAUUGUGUUUCAGUUGCCUACAAUAUUCAGUACAGUAACAUGCUGUACAAGUUUGUAGCUUAGGAGCAAUACCACAUACAGCCUAGGUGUAUAGUAGGCAUUACCAUCUAGGUUUGUGUAAAUACACUCUAUGAUGUUUGCACAACAAUGAAAUAAUCUAAUGACACAUUUCUCAGAACAUAUUCCUGUUGUUAAGUGAUGCAUGACUUUUAAGCCUCAUUCAUUAAGGACACUACAGAUAGCUUUGGUGUUGUCUCUCUUUUGGGCACUUUCCUUGGGAGCUUAGGUACCAUGCUAAAGGAAGCCAAAAACUAGCUCACACAGAGAGACUACAUGGGAAGUCCACAUGGAAAGCAACUGAAGCACCAGCCAACAGCUAGCAUCAACCUCCAGAUGUGUGAAUGAAUGAGCCUUCAGAGGAAUCCAACUCCUAGCUGUCAUGCCUUCCAGUUGAAAACCCCAGAAAUUAUGGAGCAGGAAAAACACCAUCUUGGGUUCUGUGCAAAUUCCUAACCCACAGAAUCCACGAGCCUAACAAAUGGUUGUUUUAAGCCACCAAUUUUGGGAUAAUUUGUUAUGCAGCCAUAGUAACUGGUCCAGCAUCCAUUCCACUUAGAGAUUUGUGUGGUGAUCGCCUAGGAAGACAAGCUAGCCUUUUGUAUAGAAAAUAUGUAAUUUCAAGCUAUUGCUGUCUUAUUGUAUGUCAUUUACUGGGUAAAUCCUCAUUUCUCAAACUUGAUGUCUCAACACCCCUGCCCUUUUUUUUUUUUUUUUUUGAGACAGAGUCUUGACUCUGUCGCCCAGGCUGGAGUGCAGUGACAUGAUCUCGGCUCACUGCUGUCUCUGCAUCCCAGGUACAAGGGGUUCUCCUGCCUCAGCCUCCUGAGUAGCUGAGCCUACAGGCACACACCACCAUGUCCAGCUAAUUUUUGUAUUUUUGUAGAGAUGGAGUUUCACCAUGUUGGCCAUGCUGGUCUCAAAUUCUUGACCUCAAGUGAUCCGCCUGCCCUGGCCUCCCAAAGUGCUGGGAUUACAGGUGUGAGCCACCGUGCCUGGCCUCAACCCCUUUUAAAUAAAAAAAUUUUCACAGCCACUUUGAUAUUGACUUAAACUACAUAUGUAUUGUUACUUAAGUAUGUACAAACCUAAGACCAGUAAUAAACUCCUUAUUCUUGGAGCUUUACACAACUAAAAGUAGAUCUAUAAAUUAAAUACAAACAAGACUAUAGAAAUGGUAAAAUUCCAGUUUACAACCAAAAGCAAUGGAUGAUGAUGUUGCUUUGCUGAAACUAUAUUGCAUCAGUGUGAAUUUUAUAGUGACCAUUAAUGAAGCAUGUUUUUUUGCAUCGUAGCCAUGGGAUAACUUUUUCUACAACUCUUUUUAUCAGUUGCCUUUCAUAAGGAACAAAUGUGUCAUUUACAUAUUUAAUUCCAUUCUUUAAGUUUUUAUGUAUUAUUUGACAUCAGUGCCAUCAUAAAUGGUCAACCAGGUAAUUCAAGAUACUGCAUAUAUAUAUUAAGAAUCAAAAUAAGAUGCUUGUGGAAAAUUGGCAGAUCCUGAACCCUAGUUUGAAAAUCACUAAACAGGUCUAUAUUUAAUGAGCCAUUCAUUUAUAAUUCAGGAAGGCCUCCAGUGUGAAGGAAGGUGAAAAUUUUGGAAUUAGAUUGGUUUAGAGCUAGUUGGAAUAGGCCCAGUACAGGAUAAAGCAAGCUUGAAAUAAGGCAGUGGUGGUGGGGAAUGCAAGAAGAAUCCGUGCAUGUGAGUUAAGUAAAUGUACUCAAGAUGACUUGAUCAGUGGUUGGAUAUGGAGUGUAGGGUAGAGGGAGGAUUCUAGGAUGACUACAAGUUUUUUUUUUUUGUUUGUUUGUUUUUUUUGAGAUAGAGUUUCGUUCUUGUUGCCCAGGCUGGAGUAUAAUGGCACGAUCUCGGCUCACUGCAACCUCCGCCUCCUGAGUUCAAGCGAUUGUCCUGCCUCAGCCUCUCAAGUAGCUGGGAUUACAGGCAUGCGCCACCAUGCCUGGCUAAUUUUUGUAUUUUUAGUAGAGACUAGUUUCUCCAUGUUGGUCAUGCUGGUCUCGAAUUCUCAGCCUCAGGUGAUCUGCCUGCCUCAGCCUCCCAAAGUGGUGGGAUUACAGGCGUGAGCCACUGCGCCCAGCAAUGACUACAAGUUUCUAAUCCAGAGACUAGGCAGUUAGCAGUGCCUUUUGCCCAUGAAGUCUUAGUAGGAAAAUAGUGAGUUGUUUUGGACAUGUCAAGAUCAUGAUUCUCAUGAGAUCCAACUGGGGGUUUCUAGUAAUGUGGUUCAGAACUGAUUGGCUCAGCCAUUGAUCUGAUCCAGCUGUGACAACCUGAAAGCCAUACUUAGCAACCCGUCACAUUAAUAGUAAGUAAAGCAGUUUUUGCAAAAGAAUCAACAAGCAAUAUAGAUUUUUUCUAAAAAAUUUCGAGUUCAGUACAAAGAACAUUUUCCCUCUUAACUGUUUCAGAAUAAGUUGCUAUGUCUAGGCUAAAUGCAGAAGAAAAGAAGUGAGACAACUUUCUUUUACUCGUAAGUGUGAGAGCAUUGGAAGGACAGGAGUUUUGGGUCAUAGAGUUGGAUAAUAAGACAACAUUUCAAAGGUGCAGAGUUCCAGGUGAGAUAAAAACAACAGAUUACAAUAGUAUGUUCCUAAAUUGGAUUGAAGUUGGUCAUUUGAAUCCAUUCAAUAAAUUUAACAUUCUACCAGGCACUGGAGAGAAAAAGGUAAUUGAGACAGAGUUCCUACACUAAAGGAACUUACAGAGUAGAAGGGAAAAUCAAGCAGAUACAUUGUUCAGACGGAGUACAAAGAAAGUAAAACAGCUUUGUCAAGGUGGAGGGUGGAGGGCAGGUCAAGGAGAGCACCUCAAAGAGGUGGGUAAACCGGAUUCUGAAUUAUGAAUAGGAACUAACCAUUCCAAGAUGAGGGGCCAUAAAGAGUGGGCAGUAAGGUCAGAGGGAGCAAGUAUUUAUACAGGCUCCAAGGCGAUAGAGGUCAUAACCCACCAGGGGACUGCAAGUCUUUCAGUAUAACAAGAUAGUAAGUAAAUAUAAGGCUGUAAAGCAAGAUCCAAUCAUGAAGGGCCUUGUUGAGUUUGAACUUCAUCUUACAUAGCCAUCCGUGGAAAGUCAGUGUAUUUUAAACAGGUGAGUGAGUAAAAUGGUUAAUAUGCAUUUUAGAACUUGUUCUGCCUCUACAUAUUAAAGGGAGCAAAACAAUAAACAGAAACUGGUUAGUAAGCUAUUGACAUAAUCUAGGUAGAAGGUGGUGACAAAGUUAGGUAAUGAUAGUGGAUGUGGAGAGAAGUAGAUUAACUCAAGAGUUCAAUAUAUAGUAACUGUAGGGCUUGAUGGUUAAUAUGAAUGUUAGGGGUAAAGAGGGAAUUGAAUGAUUCCGUUUCUGACAUGGGAACUAUAUAAUUUACUGAUUCAUAAAUGAUUUUUGACCAGGCAUUGUGGUACACACUGGGCUUAAGAGAAGUGAACAAGGAUAGAGUUUCUGAUAGCCUCUGCUAUUAUUGUGUAGGGUCACUAGGGGAAGUCAGACAAUGAGCACAUAAACUAGUUUCAGAUAGCACAUGGAUGGACCAAGAGUGGUGAGAGUUGGAAUAUCUGUGAAGCUUUUAGGGUAAAGUCAUAGCUGUGGGAGGGCAGGGACCCUCUUGUUACUGUACUCAACUUGCAUUGGUUUAGGGCAUUAGCAGUAGGGGAAAGUACAGAAUGACAAAAAAAUUGCACAGAAACCUUAGUUCUUUUUCACUUUCUCAGAUCACUUAAACACUUCAGCUGCUGUACCUUAAACCUGGCAAGUUUUUGCCUCCCUUAAACAGGUGUCCCAAGAUCUGCUAAAGUUUUAUUUUAAAAAUAAGAGAAUCAGUGUUUUACAAUUCUUCCAAGAAGUUCAUGUGAUCAAGAAAAUGUACAUUUCUUCUCAUCCAGGUCAAGGACCAUAGCUUUUCUAUAUAGUGCUCUACUGCUGCACUUAUUAUAGGUAAUAUAGUGGUUCCAGAUAAUUUGGCACCUUUUAGAAAUAAAUUCUUUCAUUCAAAAAAUAUGAGUGAGGGCCAGGUGCGGUGGCUCACACCUGUAAUCCCAGGACUUUGGGAGGCCGAGACGGGCGAAUCACCUGAUGUCAGGAGUUCAAGACCAGCCUGACCAACAUGGUGAAACCCCGUCUUUACAAAAAUACAAAAAUUGGCUGGGCAUGAUGGUGAGUGCCUGUAAUCCCAGCUACUCAGGAGACUCAAGCGCGAGAAUUGCUUGAGGCUGGGAGGCAGAGGAUGCAGUGAGCCGAGAUCGCACCUCUGCGCCCCAGCCUGGGCAAAAGAGCGAGACUCCAUCUCAAAAAAAAAAGUGCUUGCUUUGAUCAAGGCCCUGUAUUUCGGGUUACAGAAUUUCUUUUAAAACAUCUUAAUCAACAUUGGACAUAUCUUUUUAAAUGCAUGCUUCUCCACUUUCUUCCAGAGUAUAUAGAACAGUUUUUAGUGGAUAACUAUCCUGACCUAAAGUAAAUGUUAGCCUUGAGUGCUGUUUUUGAAUUGGAUAAAGCUGCUGCAUGUCAUCCUUAUGUAGCAGGCACAAUAUUUGCAGUAUUCAGACUUCUAGACCUGGUGCUAACCAAAUAUUUCUACAUUAAGUGGCUUCAUUCUGUUGUGCUUUUUGAAUGUUUUCUAGCUUCCUUCAUCUUUCUAGCUUCCUUGAUCUUAAUUUUGCUAUUUCUGGUCUGUGUUAAAGCAGGAACCUGAUGAUCAAAAACUCUAGGAAUCAAACCCUCUCCUUUUAAUCACUGUACUUGGACUUCAGUGCCUAUAUUUUGAGGCCAAUGUGACUUUUUUUUUUUUUUUCCAGAUGGAGUCUGGCUGUUAUCUCCAGGCUGGAGUGCAGUGGUGCAAUCUCGGCUCACUGCAACCUCUGAACCCCUGGUUCAAGUGAUACUCCUGCCUCAGCCUCCCAAGCAGCUGGGAUUACAGGCAUGUGCCACCACACCCAGCUAAUUUUUGUAUUUUUAGUAGAGACGGGGUUUCACCAUGUUGGCCAGGAUGCGCUCUAUCUCCUGACCUCAAGUGAUCCGCCCGCCUUGGCCUCCCAAAGUGCUAGGAUUACAGGCGUGAGACACGGCGCCCAGUUGACUGUUUUGUUUUCACUCACUCCUCCAUAUGGGUAGUUGAGGAUCACUAUGACUGUUUUUAUGUAGGCAGAAUUUUUAAGAAAACAACAUAAAUUUAGAUAUUUGUUCCGUAAAGUUACUAAAAAGUAAAUAUAUUAAAGGUGAUUGUCACAUAAGCCUUCCAAUCACAGUGCCUGUGAUUUCAUUAGACAAAACUGAACAUAUAAAAAUGUAGUUGGCUACCUGGGAGCCUGAAGCACUUUAUUUACAGAUACUUUCUUAGGGCUAACUCAAAACACAUCUAAUCAGAACCAUGCCAUAAGCUUGCCAGAGAAUGACAAUGCAUUUAAACAUCGUAAAUAGCCAAAUUUCACCUUCCCCAUUGAAGACAGCAUUUCAGAUACAAGUACAUGGCCUGGUAAUGUUUUUCCAGAAGAGAUCCUACUUGUAUCAAAGUCAGCCUGUAGCAGUGCAAACUACUGACUUAAAGUUUAGCAGCUAAAAAUAGAGUCUGAAAAGAUUCAGAAAAUUGAGUUAUUUUACCCAUGAAACAAACAUCUGCUCUUUUAGAGCAAGCAGCUCUUUAUACCUUAUGAGAAAGCUCAAGAACAAAAAAGUUAGCUUUUCAUUUUAAGGUACCAUGGUUGAUUUUAGACAGUUCUCAUAUCUUCAAAUUAUUAUCCUGGGGAAAAUUAUGCAGGACAAAAGUGUUUUUUAGAAAUAUUUAGCAAAAAUAUAUGAAUUACUGCCUUUUCAUAAUGCAGCCAGGACUUGCAUCGGAAUAUUUGAUUAUCCUAUGACCAACUCACUUAUACCUUCCACAGAAUACUAUAGCACAACGUGUAGUAUAUACAAGCUCCAGAAUGCUUGGAGAUGUACCUCACUUUAGCACUAAGUAGCUGUGUAACUUUGAGCAAGUUGUUUAACCUGUGUCUCCAUUCCUCUCGAGGAUCAUAAUAGUCUUUCUCAUGGGGUAAAAUAAUACAUGUGGAACACUCAACAAGAUGCAUGGCACACAGUAAGUACUGUAAUAAAAGUAAUUUAGAGAAACAGAAGAUACUUUGCUUAACCCAAGAUACCUUGAGGUAAAUUUAAAAGUCACAUUUUAAAUACAUUCCUAUUGUUUUUCAUACAACUAUCACUUCUGUGGUAAUCAAAUGGUGUUUAAAUAAUCUAUGUUUAUGCCUACUUACAUAGGUUAACAUAAACAGUAAAAAUAUUUUCAUUCACUACCCAAGCACAGUCUAUUGAAGGCACUUCCAACCAGCCCCUUAUCAGUAGGAAGAAUCCAACCUAGGACUAGUUUAUCAAUAGAUGUACUUUUCCAUAGAUUGUAAGCAGUUCUAAGUAGGAAAGGUUUGGCUCUCAGGAGCUUUCAGCGGGACAUUUAUAUUUGUAAAUAAAAAGGAAAUAUUCUUUGGGCAGUGUUUCAGAAUCACCUGGGAUGAUCUGCAUGAAGAUUCCUGGCCUCCACCAAAGACUUACUGAAUCAGAAAGGAGGCAAGAGGAUGAGGAAUGCUUAAGAAUCUGCAUUAACAAACUUUACAAAUGAAUCUUACAACAUACAGAAGCAUGGAAACUACUGCCUCAAGGGAUUAUCUCAACUUGAGUUUAAACAUAGGAAUUGCUGACUACCUUUAAAAUGUAAAAAUAGUAUCUUUAUGGGAGGGAUGUUGUUUGGGGGCAGCUACUAAAUAGUGAAAUCAUUCCUUUAAAAUACCCUCUCAAGUCUGCCCCAGUUAUCCAUUUUACUGGAUAGUCUUGGUAUCCAGAUGAUUUAGGGAAAAAAAUAGUAGUAGCAAACUCUGAAAACACUCAGUAAAGUUCAUUCUUGGUCUUCUCUUCCUAAAUUUGUUUUCAAUUGUUAGAUUUAAACACUAAACAAGACCAAAAGAGAACUUUAUUUUACAUGUCUUUAUUUUACAUUUAGAACCGUUUUAUGAUUUACUUAAAAAAAAAAUCUUUUACUAUUAUUAGAAGUAUUUUUUAACCAAAAUCUUGAUUUAGGAAGACUUAAGACAUUGUGCAUUAUUUUAAAUAUUUUCAUUUCAGUAACUAUUAAAAAUAAAUUCACAAUUAGGGUUUCAAAUGUCCUAAUCAUAUCUAGUUUGUUCUCAUUUAAUAUUUUAUCAAUCCCAUCAUGUGCAUACAGAGGUUAAGGUGAUGUAUAAAUUUUAUAUCUUUCAAACACAUUGAUGCUAAUCAGCUCUUGAUCUAAUUACUAUUUCAUUUAUUCAGAAAUAGCAUUUAGACAUAAAAACCAAUGUCUCACUUUGUAAAAUAACCUUUGGCUAAUUUACACACAUCUAAUACAGCGUGUUAUAUAAGUUUUAAGUAAUACAAUGAGUCACUACUAUCAUUCAGUUUUAAAUAUUUUUAGUGUUAACAGGGCUGAGAAUAUCAUGUGGUUCAGUCUUCUGAAGGAAGUUAUAUAAUAAAAGCAUAGUGCCUUUGAACAUGAAGACUAUCCUCAAGGCCAGAAAUCCUACAAAGGAACUGAAAGGAGAGAUUCCAGAGAAUUGCUCUCCUCAUUUUUAAUAUGUAAAGUGACUGUUUUAAGUCACUUCAUUGAAGACUUAAGGAAGAAAACAGUGUUAUUAUGCCACUGAAUAAAGCUACUUAAACCAGAGUAAUUUUGGGAUAUUAAUCCUAGGCUACAUAAUUAAUAGGUCAUCAAAACAAAAACCUGUCAGUUAUUAGGUGUAAGUUAACUUCCUAUGCCAAGUAAGGGGUCACACUUCACUUCCCCCAUUUGUAAAAUGAAAAGGUGGCCAGGCCAGUGCCAUUUAGGAUUCUCUGCUAACUGUAAAAUGUGGACUGAUUUUCUUCUGUUUCUUAUAGUCCAGGUGUAUAUAAACUUCCAGUUCUUUAAGUCAAAAUUUUUAUGCACAUAACCAUGUCAGUGUAUUGCCCUUAGUUUAAAAAUGUACAACUACAUAAAUAAAAACUAUUGUUUCUUCAAUAUUACUUGACAUUUCUUCUGUAAUUUCUUUAUUUAAAAAAGU
RNAcentral lists this long non-coding RNA (13985 nucleotides) under Homo sapiens (human). RNAcentral describes it as "non-protein coding UBR5-AS1:5". The record is from RNAcentral. Lineage: Eukaryota; Metazoa; Chordata; Mammalia; Primates; Hominidae.